RNAcentral lists this ribosomal RNA (253 nucleotides) under uncultured bacterium. Its description in RNAcentral is "partial 16S ribosomal RNA". It matches the Rfam family "Bacterial small subunit ribosomal RNA", at positions 524 to 776 of the family's 1533-position model. The record is from RNAcentral.
UACGUAGGGUGCGAGCGUUAAUCGGAAUUACUGGGCGUAAAGCGUGUGCAGGCGGUCUGUUAAGACAGGUGUGAAAUCCCCGGGCUUAACCUGGGAAUGGCGCUUGUUACUGGCAGACUAGAGUGCGUCAGAGGGGGGUGGAAUUCCACGUGUAGCAGUGAAAUGCGUAGAGAUGUGGAGGAACACCGAUGGCGAAGGCAGCCCCCUGGGAUGACACUGACGCUCAUACACGAAAGCGUGUGGAGCAAACAGG